GAUGAACGCUAGCUACAGGCUUAACACAUGCAAGUCGCGGGGCAGCAUGGGGGUUGCUUGCAAUCCCCGAUGGCGACCGGCGCACGGGUGAGUAACGCGUAUUCAACCUGCCCUUCACCACGGGAUAACCCGGCGAAAGUCGGACUAAUACCGUAUGUUGUCCAUUGACGGCCUCCGAUUUGGACGAAAGGCUUGGCGGUGAGGGAUGGGGAUGCGUCCGAUUAGCCAGACGGCGGGGUAACGGCCCACCGUGGCUACGAUCGGUAGGGGUUCUGAGAGGAAGGUCCCCCACACUGGAACUGAGACACGGUCCAGACUCCUACGGGAGGCAGCAGUGAGGAAUAUUGGUCAAUGGGCGUAAGCCUGAACCAGCCAAGUAGCGUGCAGGAUGACGGCCCUAUGGGUUGUAAACUGCUUUUAUGCGGGGAUAAAGUGGCCCACGUGUGGGCUUUUGCAGGUACCGCAUGAAUAAGGACCGGCUAAUUCCGUG
Molecule: ribosomal RNA, 490 nt
Filed under: uncultured bacterium
Lineage: Bacteria
Description: partial 16S ribosomal RNA
Rfam family: Bacterial small subunit ribosomal RNA
Source: RNAcentral